Molecule: non-coding RNA, 501 nt
Organism: Megalobrama amblycephala (Wuchang bream)
Lineage: Eukaryota; Metazoa; Chordata; Actinopteri; Cypriniformes; Xenocyprididae
Source: the annotation of a RefSeq genome assembly
AUGUUGAUGUUGAGAAGAGCUGCUGUUGAGUCUCAUAUCAGUGUGUCUGGUCCUGCAGUGAAGCCCUCCGUGUCUCUGCUGCCGCCCUCUUCUCUGCAGAUCUCUGGAGACUCAGCCGCACUGCUCUGCCUGCUCAGCUCUUACUCUCCACAGGGGGCGACGGUGAGCUGGACGCUGGACGGGUCAGAGGUCACCGAGGGGGUUCAGACCAGCGCAGAGAGCGAGCGGGACGGACGCUACAGCCGCAGCAGCGUCCUGAGCCUCAGCAAAGCACGCUGGGAAGGCGCGGAUCGCUUCGUCUGCAGAGUAAGACAUGACGGAGCUGAUCACGAGGCCUCGUUCCUCAAGAGCUCCCAGUGCUGAUGUUUCUCCGGUCCAGACGAGCCGUAUCUGAGCGUCCGGCAGGAUUCACAGCAGUCACGUGAUUUACAGCUCAAUACUGAAGCAGUCUUUCAAUGUGCUGCCAUUGCUGUUCAUUCAAUAAAGCUUCUGAACGCGUUA